Long non-coding RNA from Ochotona princeps (American pika), 1008 nucleotides. RefSeq lists it as uncharacterized. The transcript is spliced from 4 exons. The record is from RefSeq and is a predicted model, not a curated record. NCBI's taxonomy places the organism in Eukaryota, Metazoa, Chordata, Mammalia, Lagomorpha, Ochotonidae.
CCACUGCCUAGCCUGGCGGGAACUGCGGGGCCCGCGCCGGCCGAUCCCACCUGUGGGGCUGCGCGGCCCAGUGCACUCUGCCUGGCACAAUAGGCGUGAAUCACCGCAAGGAGGAACUGGCCUUGUUGGAGCAGAAGGUCACUGGGCCCCAUCCUCCCACUGCUGCUCGAAUAAUAUGCGUAACACGUAGUGCCGCAGUCGCUGCUGGGAUUGAAUACGCUCAAGCAUAGAUUUUGUGGCCUUAUUACCCAAAAGGCUCCUGGCUUCUCUCCUUGACUGAAAAUUUCCUAAAGAGGUCAUAAUUCUAGAACACAGUUCAUCUGGCACAUUUCUGAAAUUCCAAGUGCAACCUGCAACCUGAUGCCUUUCAUCAAGUACUUCUAAGAGAUUGUGUCAAGAUUUGAGAGCAACAAGGUAGAACUUUAUUAGAAAUACUCUGAGAAAUAGUCUCACAAGAGUUUCUGCCAAUUUACCUUCCUCACUAAUGAAAAUCACCUACAACAAGCAAUAACUCAUCAAACUCAUCAACUACUACUACUAAACAUCGAGGGGGACCUAAUACCGCCAACUGAGAUAACUGUGCAGAUCCAUCUGGAAAGCAUCUUUGGUGUCUGAGUUCACUCAAAACUGUCCUGCUCAGGCAGACUUCACCUUGAGUACUAAUAUUCAGAGUUUGUGAUCCGUUGUCACUGGAAGGCAACACAUUCUAUCUUGUAUGGACUGCUUUUUAAGAACUGAUACUGGGCUUAGCAUUCAAGGAAGAAAAAAGAACUGGCCUUGAAGAAAUUUCUUUGAGGCAUGUAGAAUAGGCCUCCAUUUGUAUAGCUAAACUAAAUCUGUUGACAUUAAUAGAAUUCUACUUAAUUGCUUCUCUUCACAUCUAUUUAAUGCUAGUAGGUUUAUUUACCAUUUAAUUUACUGAGCUCUCACAAACUUAUUUAAUUAGAACAUUAUUAUUCGUUUACAAGGCAUUCUUCCCUUACUAUUACAUAUUUUAUUAGACACAGA